RNA transcript from Columba livia (rock pigeon), 2734 nucleotides. It is a transcript of the gene named E3 ubiquitin-protein ligase RNF14, with no coding region annotated. NCBI's taxonomy places the organism in Eukaryota, Metazoa, Chordata, Aves, Columbiformes, Columbidae. The record is from RefSeq and is a predicted model, not a curated record. The transcript is spliced from 9 exons.
AAUGAAGUAGAGCAGAUGCAUCCCGGGGGUUCCUGUGUAGCGAAGGGUCCGGGCGGGCUCGCGGCGGCGGUUUCUAGAGCCAGGGCGCUGCGGUCCUCCCGGCCGCCGGGGGCGCUGCGGGGCGAGCGCGAUGGGGCUGGGCCGCGGCUCCGCCCGCCGCCCCCUCAUCCCCGCAGCCGCGGCGCCGGCCGGGCUGUUCCGGGAGGGCCGGGCCCGGUUCCUCGUCUCGCCGUCCCGCGGCGGAAGGCACCGCAGCUCCCCAUGUCUUCAGAGGACAGAGAAGCUCAGGAGGACGAGCUGCUGGCUUUGGCCAGCAUUUACGAUGAGGACGUGUUCAAGAGAUCCGAGUCUGCCCAGGGGGGAGAAACAAGGAUUUUUCUGGAGCUGCCCCAAGACUUCAUCGUUUCUGUGAAUGGCAAUUCCGCAGAGACCCUCCAGAGCCCCCGCAGCGAAUACACCGUCAGCUUUCUGCCUCCCCUUGUGCUGAAUUUUGAGCUCCCACCUGACUACCCGUCGACCUCCCCACCCGUGUUCACGCUCCGUGGAAAAUGGCUCUCCCAAGCCCAGCUCAGCACUCUUUGCAGGCACUUGGACAACAUAUGGGAAGAGAACCGAGGCUCCGUGGUCUUGUUUGCCUGGAUGCAGUUUCUGAAGGAAGAAACGCUGAGUUAUCUGCAGAUUUCCUCCCCGUAUGAGCUCAAGAUGUGCCAUGGAGGGAGCGGGCAGAGUGGGCCGCCGCCGGUCCCUCCCGACGCUGAGCAGCGCGGGGAUGCAGCGUGCGCAGCCGCGGCUGGGGCAGAAAUCCUCGAUGCCAGAGCCGUGCAGGACGUGGAGUCGCUGUCCAGUCUGAUCAGGGAAAUCCUGGACUCGGAUCAGGCUCAGAGGAGGAAAUGCUUUGACAGCAAGAUGUUCUUGUGCAGUAUCUGCUUCUGCGAGAAGCUGGGCAGCGAGUGUAUGUACUUCAUGGAGUGCAGCCACGUGUACUGCAGAGCGUGCCUGAAGGACUACUUCGAAAUCCAGAUCAGGGACGGGCAGGUCCAGUGUCUCAACUGCCCCGACUCGGAGUGUUCGUCGGUUGCCACUCCCGGCCAGGUGAAGGAGCUGGUUGGAGAGCAGCUGUUUGCGCGGUACGACCGCCUGCUGCUGCAGUCCACCCUGGACACGAUGGCAGACGUGGUGUAUUGCCCCCGCCGCGGCUGCCAGACCCCGGUCAUGAAGGAUCCCGAGAGCAUCAUUGGCAUCUGUUCCUGCUGCAACUACGCCUUCUGUACGUUCUGUCGAAUGACGUACCACGGGGUCUCUCCGUGUCGACUCACGGCAGAGAAAUUAUUGACUUUGCGACAAGACUAUUUAGAAGCAGAUCAAAAGACUAAAAGACUUAUGGAACGAUGCUAUGGGAAACGAGUGAUUCAGAAAAUCCUGGAGGAGAUGGACAGUAAAGAAUGGCUGGAAAGCAACUCCAAGCCCUGUCCUAGCUGUGCUGCCCCCAUAGAGAAAAUAGACGGUUGCAACAGGAUGAAUUGUACAAGCUGCAAGAAGAAUUUCUGCUGGACUUGUAGGGGUGUUCUGUCAGACGAGGACCCCUACGCACACUACAGUGACCCAGCUUCCCCCUGCUUUAACAGACUUCACAGGAGGGCCUGACACCAACAAUAGAAAAAACCAGGAGUGAUUUGGGAUAUGGCUUUUACACAACGUUUCCUUAAAACCCUGGAGACGCGCGCUGGGGCUGCUCCUGCCUGCCCUGCUGCUGUGCCGAGAGACAGCCCGGAGGGCCGCGGUGCCUCGCGGACGCUCAGGUUGUUUCACAUGAUGCUUGUUGAUGGUGAGCCCUUGGAACCUGGAGAUUGAAACCCAGUGGCCUUCUUGAGCAGGAAAAGCCGAACAAACGCGAGACAGAUGCUUUCCAUUUUGGUCACGUUUGUUCUCUUUUCUCUCCGGUACGUGGCACAGGAACGGUAACUGCCGUGCGCUGCAGCAUCCGCGCGCUUCAGAGGCUGUUGCCAAAACCAAAGCAGCCGUUUUACCCGUCCUGCGGUCAGGAUCACCGUGGGAGCCCCUGCCAGUCAUAUCGAGUGUUAAAGACAAAUACAGCCAGUCAGAAGUGGAAAAGUACAGAAAAAAUGUAUGAUGAGGAAGUGCCCCUUUUUCAAAAGCAAACGAGCAAAACCAAAUCCCAAGUCACUGAAAUGUUGGGGAGUUUCCUUCAAGGAGACAGACCUUUCGAGUAUCUUUUGCUUCUCUGGCCUUUCCUGAGCUGUUCUCUGAAAAGCAGCUCGUUGCUCUGUCGCUGAUGCUUCCCAACGGUGGGGAAGCUGAUCCUCCCCGCCCCUGCCCGCUGGCUGUGCCGCCGGGCUCUGUGUGUCGCCCAGAGCUUUGGCAGGAGCGCCCAACCACGUUCCAGACAUUGGAGCAGUUUGACUUAUCUCUGUGUUGUCGAUCAGAUUUUGAAAUGCACUUUCAUGGAUACAUAGUUAAGAUUAAUACUUCAAGAUAUUGAAAAUUACCUUGUCUUCUCAGAUUAUUAAGUAAUUUAUUUUUUACUAAUUCUUCAUAUUAGAAUUUUGAUGAGCUGAUAGUUUUCCUUCUUGAGUGGAUCCCUUAUUUCCAUUGUGCUUGCACUUCAAAUUAUUUCAGAAACCAAAUUGUUUCCCCUAAGAUCUCUGUUUUUUCAGCAUAAAAGUAAUUCCUGGAGGGAAGCACUAUUUUUUAAUAAAGUUUUCCACUUGCAGAA